GAUUUUGAAGCAAAUCUACAAGACACAAUGUCUGAGCUAUACCCUGAGGCAGAAGAUUUAUCAUUUUUUUUUUCCAUUUUUUGAGUUUAUAAAACAUGUUAUUGUAGCUAAGCUUCAUCUAGAAAUCUCAUUUAUUUUUUUUUAUUUUUUUCUUCUCUUAAGUCACUACACUUUCUCUAUUCUUUCUGUCCAUACUCUAUUCUUUCUCUUGAAUUUACAAUGCAUUCAAAUUUCCACUUGCAGUCGCCUGAUGUUUAUAAGGCUGCAUGGAAUCUAUUGAAGGACCCAACCGAGCAAAUUGGCAUUGAUAACUUCAUGGUACAACAACUUGAUGGAAUAGUUAAUGAGUGGGGCUGGUGCAAGCAGAAGCUUGGUGCUAAUGCUAUAUUGGCAGUAUCACUUACUAUCUGUAAAGUAGGUGCUAGCGUGAAAAAGAUCCCUCUUUACUAGAUAGAUGCAGAGAGUACAGUGGGGGGAGAAGCUUUUUCUCGAAUAGCACCAACAAUUCCUACUAUCGCUGAUGUAGUUACCAGUACACAUCUGUUUGAUGUACUUACAAAUUCAAAUGGAGGUCGGCUUUCUUUCUUGGUAUGUGAGAAGUACCUUGUUGGAUUAGAAAGGUUAGCAUUCUUCAGUUGAUAAGUUGUACUUGCUCAUAUCAUGGUAAUAAAAAAGGGUACAUAGUGGCUGUAAUGGUUGUUAUGUAAUGGUAAUGGUGAGAUCCCUUAUGCGAUAUGGGUUUGUAAUGUCCAUUCUUAAAAAAUGGCCCAUAAUAGGCCUGUAAGUUGUAACAGCCAUAACAGUCGUACGGGCCCAUUAUAGGCCAAUAUGAGCCUAUAAUGGUCCCAUAUUAGGCUGAUACAUUUUCUUUAAAAAAAUUUACUGUA
Long non-coding RNA from Magnolia sinica, 887 nucleotides. RefSeq lists it as uncharacterized. The record is from RefSeq and is a predicted model, not a curated record. The transcript has 4 exons. Lineage: Eukaryota; Viridiplantae; Streptophyta; Magnoliopsida; Magnoliales; Magnoliaceae.